AUUUAAAUAGUUUAAAUAAAAAUACUGAUUUGUGGAAUCAGUGAUGUAAAAUAUUACUUUAGAUA
RNAcentral lists this transfer RNA (65 nucleotides) under Omalium rivulare. RNAcentral describes it as "tRNA-His". The record is from RNAcentral. Lineage: Eukaryota; Metazoa; Arthropoda; Insecta; Coleoptera; Staphylinidae.